GACGAACGCUGGCGGCGUGCUUAACACACGCCAGUCGAACGGAAAGGCCCUGCUUUUGUGGGGUGCUCGAGUGGCGAACGGGUGAGUAACACGUGAGUAACCUGCCCUUGACUUUGGGAUAACUUCAGGAAACUGGGGCUAAUACCGGAUAGGAGCUCCUGCUGCAUGGUGGGGGUUGGAAAGUUUCGGCGGUUGGGGAUGGACUCGCGGCUUAUCAGCUUGUUGGUGGGGUAGUGGCUUACCAAGGCUUUGACGGGUAGCCGGCCUGAGAGGGUGACCGGCCACAUUGGGACUGAGAUACGGCCCAGGCUCCUACGGGAGGCAGCAGUGGGGAAUAUUGCACAAUGGGCGGAAGCCUGAUGCAGCAACGCCGCGUGCGGGAUGACGGCCUUCGGGUUGUAAACCGCUUUCGCCUGUGACGAAGCGUGAGUGACGGUAAUGGGUAAAGAAGCACCGGCUAACUACGUG
Molecule: ribosomal RNA, 468 nt
Filed under: uncultured bacterium
Lineage: Bacteria
Description: partial 16S ribosomal RNA
Rfam family: Bacterial small subunit ribosomal RNA
Source: RNAcentral